UACAGAGGUCUCAAGCGUUGUUCGGAUUCAUUGGGCGUAAAGGGUGCGUAGGCGGCGCGGUAAGUCGGGUGUGAAAUCUCGGAGCUUAACUCCGAAACUGCAUUCGAUACUGCCGUGCUUGAGGACUGGAGAGGAGACUGGAAUUUACGGUGUAGCGGUGAAAUGCGUAGAUAUCGUAAGGAAGACCAGUGGCGAAGCCGGGCCUCUGGACAGUUCCUGACGCUGAGGCACGAAGGUCAGGGGAGCAAACGGG
RNAcentral lists this ribosomal RNA (253 nucleotides) under uncultured bacterium. RNAcentral's name for it is "partial 16S ribosomal RNA". It matches the Rfam family "Bacterial small subunit ribosomal RNA", at positions 524 to 776 of the family's 1533-position model. The record is from RNAcentral.